CCUACGGGAGGCAGCAGUGGGGAAUAUUGCACAAUGGGGGAAACCCUGAUGCAGCGACGCCGCGUGAGUGAAGAAGUAUUUCGGGAUGUAAAGCUCUGUCAGCAGGGAAGAAAAUGACGGUACCUGACCAAGAAGCCCCGGCUAACUACGUGCCAGCAGCCGCGGUAAUACGUAGGGGGCAAGCGGUAUCCGGAUUUAUUGGGUGUAAAGGGGGCGUAGAUGGCAGGGCAAGUCUGGAGUGAAAGGCGGGGGCUUAACCCCCGGACUGCUCUGGAAACUGCCAGGCUGGAGUGCAGGAGAGGUAAGUGGAAUUCCGAGUGUAGCGGUGAAAUGCGUAGAUAUUAGGAGGAACACCAGUGGCGAAGGCGGCUUACUGGCCUGUAACUGACGUUGAGGCUCGAAAGCGUGGGGAGCGAACAGGAUUAGAUACCCCAGUAGUC
RNAcentral lists this ribosomal RNA (440 nucleotides) under uncultured bacterium. RNAcentral describes it as "partial 16S ribosomal RNA". It matches the Rfam family "Bacterial small subunit ribosomal RNA", at positions 338 to 795 of the family's 1533-position model. The record is from RNAcentral.